UACAGGGGGGCAAGCGUUGUUCGGAAUUACUGGGCGUAAAGGGCCAGUAGGCGGCCAACUAAGUCACACGUGAAAUCCCCAGGCUUAACCUGGGAACUGCGUGUGAUACUGGAUGGCUUGAAUUCGGGAGAGGGAUGCAGAAUUCCAGGUGUAGCGGUGAAAUGCGUAGAUAUCUGGAGGAAUACCGGUGGCGAAGGCGGCAUCCUGGACCGACAUUGACGCUGAACGGCGAAAGCUAGGGGAGCAAACGGG
RNAcentral lists this ribosomal RNA (252 nucleotides) under uncultured bacterium. Its description in RNAcentral is "partial 16S ribosomal RNA". It matches the Rfam family "Bacterial small subunit ribosomal RNA", at positions 524 to 776 of the family's 1533-position model. The record is from RNAcentral.